Molecule: ribosomal RNA, 253 nt
Filed under: uncultured bacterium
Lineage: Bacteria
Description: partial 16S ribosomal RNA
Rfam family: Bacterial small subunit ribosomal RNA
Source: RNAcentral
UACGGAGGGGACUAGCGUUGUUCGGAAUUACUGGGCGUAAAGCGCACGUAGGCGGAUUUGUAAGUCAGGGGUGAAAUUCCGGGGCCCAACCUCGGAACUGCCUUUGAUACUGCAAAUCUCGAGUCCGGAAGAGGUGAGUGGAAUUCCUAGUGUAGAGGUGAAAUUCGUAGAUAUUAGGAAGAACACCAGUGGCGAAGGCGGCUCACUGGUCCGGUACUGACGCUGAGGUGCGAAAGCGUGGGGAGCAAACAGG